CGGGGGAGGCCGGAUCCUGGGCUGUGUCCCGGCGCCCUGAGCUCCGGGGCCUGCGCCGUUGGAUUCGCGCUCCCGUCCCGCAGCCCCCU
This is a non-coding RNA of Canis lupus familiaris (dog), 89 nucleotides long. The record is from Rfam. NCBI's taxonomy places the organism in Eukaryota, Metazoa, Chordata, Mammalia, Carnivora, Canidae.